This 83-nucleotide transfer RNA is filed under the name Actinoplanes octamycinicus. RNAcentral's name for it is "tRNA-Ala". Lineage: Bacteria; Bacillati; Actinomycetota; Actinomycetes; Micromonosporales; Micromonosporaceae. The record is from RNAcentral.
GCCGCCGGUGGCACGGCACUCGCGCUGCUCGCGGCGGCGGCCGUCGCCGCGGUCCUGGAGUGGUUCCUGGCCGCCCGGCGGCC